Molecule: long non-coding RNA, 37077 nt
Filed under: Lactuca sativa (garden lettuce)
Lineage: Eukaryota; Viridiplantae; Streptophyta; Magnoliopsida; Asterales; Asteraceae
Description: long non-coding RNA (LSAT_LNC007726)
Source: RNAcentral
UCGGUUCGUCCCCUGUUGCUUUUUCCCUCCAACGCCAAAAGGAAAUUGUCUCCCUACUUUCUCAGUGAAUUACAAAUCUCUUGAUCCAAGCAAUUCUGAUUCAGAAGCACUACGCUGAUCGUUCAUACAAAUUUUACUUCACAUGAAAUCUUGAUUUGAUCCACAGGUAUGUAAUGUUUGAAUUCAUAUACCAUUGACUUACUUAGAGGAACCGAUCGCGCAUCUUUCAAGAAUUUUCGAUCCAAAGUUUUCUGCUAUAUUUUUCGGCCACCAUCUCCCACAGUUGUUUUCAGUUUUGAAUUUAGGGUUUAUCACUGAUCACUAUUUUUCAUAUAGUCCUGGAUUUAGGGUUUAUUGUUGGUUAAGGAUUUAGGGUUGAUUUUUGAUCGAGAAUUUUUUCCUUUUGAUUGCAUAUAUAUCAGUUGGAUGUAGAGCUGUAUAUUCCACCUAUGAACACUUUGGAACUAAAUAUGUUAUCGUGUAGAUGAUGGAAACUAAGAAGAUUUACAAUUCAGAUAUCAUCUCUUGACCAUAUCAGUUAUAUCAUUGUAAUUGAUGUGAUUACAAGAUUAUGUAUAUGUGAUUGUUGUUCAAACAUGUUUUUAUUGCUAUGAUUAAGUAGGCAUCUUAAAUGUUAAUAGUUAAUAUAUUUGAUUAUAUCCAUAGGUAACGUAGAACCCCUUUUGGCUCUAGGGUAAUGCUGCUGAUUGAAUUCUGUAAAAUGGACCACUUUUAUGUUUUGAGGCCGAAUCUUUCAUCAAGGACAAGUAGACACUUGCUCCACCAUAGGGCAGAUAUAUGGAUUCUAACAUCUUCCUGAAUCAAAUGCUUCACAUGAAUGAUGAAUCUACUUAAGUCCUAUACUCAAGUCUCAAACAUACAACUAUUAGGAAGCCAUGGUCAAAAGUUUUAGAAAUUUAAGCAUAAAUGAGCUACCGAUUGUGUGGUAAAAGUGUAACACACAUAUGGUUUUGUAAAAAAAGAAAAAACAAAUUGCUCUCGUUGAGAGUCGAACUCAAGACCUCCCGCUUACUAAACGGGUGCUCUAACCAACUGAGCUACGAGAGCUUUUUGCUUUACUAUAUUACACCAAUUUUUCUAGUAAUUAGAUAUGGAGUAAAUUACAUUUUGGUCCCUGUGCUUUGUUAAAUUUAUGGUUUUGGUCCAAAAAAGAAACCUUUCUUCCUUUUGGUAAUGUAUUUCACCGUUUCAUAACAUUUUGGCUUACUAGGGCAUUUUGGUCUUUUCCUUGUGUUCUCUUUUCAAGAUUUCCUAUGUGGACUUAAAUAAGGUAUUUGUUAAUAUGUUCUUCCAUGUCUUUAUCUUCUUUCGUCUCCUCAGUAAUAAUGGCCACAUGUUCAUGUGAAAGAAGUAUCUGGUGAUAAAAAAUAUAUAGUAUAUGGUUUUGAAAAAAGAAAAGAAAAAAAAACAAUUUGCUCUCAUUGAGAGUCGAACUCAAGACCUCCCGCUUACUAAACGGGUGCUCUAACCAACUGAGCUAUGAGAGCUUCUUGCUUUACUAUUUGGGAUACAACAUUUUUUUUUUAUAAUAAGUAAUUAGAUAAUAUGGAUGCAUUUGUUUCAUGGUUUUUAAUUUUUAGCUUCAUAUGACACUCUGCCUAUUGUGAAAUUAAACUUAGCAAUGUCACUUCAAAAGAAACCUAAGGAUGCUGAUUCUUGCAUAUGUUUUGAGACUCUACAUGUAUUUAAGAAUGUUUGUUUAUGUCUUAAUUCUCAUUCAAUUCAAUUCAAUUCAAUUCUUGAGCAUAUAUAUAUGAGCCACAGGUUGUGUGGGGAAAAAGAUAAGGUUUUGUAAAUAAGAAUUAAAAAAAGAAAAAACAAAUUGCUCUCGUUGAGAGUCGAACUCAAGACCUCCCGCUUACUAAACGGGUGCUCUAACCAACUGAGCUACGAGAGCUACUUGCUUUUCUUAUUUUACAACAUUUCUUAUAGUAAAGGGUUAAAGUUGAAAUGCUUAACCAACUAAUUGAUUUGUCCCAAAUUGGUUGCUAAAUGUUUCUUUCAAGCAUUUAGGGUCCUUAUACAUCAAUUUUUUUUGCACCAUUUUAACAAUCUAUAUGCAGUUUGCAACAUUGCCAAAGUGGAUAAAAAGAGCCUAGGAUAAAGUGGCAUUGAUGGGUUUUCAAGCAAUGUUAGAAGGUGGAAAUUUGUAAUGAAAGUUGAAACUUCAGCAUAUAUGAGCCACUGGUUGUGUGAGAAAGAGAUAAGGCUUUUUAAAAGGAAAAAAAAAAGAGAGACAAAUUUGCUCUCGUUGAGAGUCGAACUCAAGACCUCCCGCUUACUAAACGGGUGCUCUAACCAACUGAGCUACGAGAGCUUCUUGCCUUAAUAUUUCACAACAUUUUUCUUUAAGAAGCGUUGGAAACCUUAGAGCAUAGAUGAGCCACCAGUUGGGUGGAAAACAGAUAUGGUUAUGUAAACAAAGAAUAAUUAUUUUAUUCAUAUUCUAUAGAUUAUCCUUUUCUACUUAAUAGGUUUACAUAACUAUUCUACGAUUUAAAUGCCAUUUGUUUUGUAAUAAUAACAUUUAUAGCCACGUGACAAUGUAAUAUUUAUAAAUAAUCUAAUACGAAGUUGGAACGGAAUGAGAAGAACAAUUGAUGCCCUUCAAUGAUAAUUCUUAAAUUUUUUUAUCAAAUCCCAAAAUAUAAAAACUCAAAAGGCAAGUUUGGUAUAAAUACGUCAAAACAUUUUCCGGCAGUUGUAUCAAAGGAAUGAGAAUCAUAGAAAAUUGAGUGAAUAUGUUUUGAGAACAAUCGUAUUUUACUAUCUUUUGGUUUUUAUUUAUGUUUGGGGGUAAAUAAACAUUAAAGGAAUAUUUAAUAAUAUUUAGUAAGGGAAAAUAGUAUUUUACUUCAGACAUAACUAUAAUGAAAGAAAAAUACGAGUUGGAUUUAAGGACCAAAUGCGUAAUAUUUACCAAAUCACAAGACGAUUUCAUUAAUUUACUCUUUAGUGUUUUCUACAUUUUUGUUUGUUUUCUUUUUUCCUUUGGAAUCAUAAUUAUAAUUUAUAAGCACUCUAGAAAUACAUUUUUGCAUAAUUUCCGAACAUCUCCAACAUAUUUUUAUUCAUACAAAUUAAGCUGCAAAACUUUUAGCUAUGGAAAAUGAUGAGACAGAAUAAGUUGGUGAGACAAUGUACGUCAUUAGUGACGAGUCUAGAAUAGAAAACAACAUGAUUCACAAAUUUUUCAAUAUACAUUUUUCUGCACAAAUUCAAAAAAAUUAUAGGUAAGCUAGGUCAUAAUUUUUUUUUAAGAUAAGUCCCUAAAAAUUUUCAAUAAUAAUUUUAUAUAAAUUAAAAUAAUUAGGUGGGUCCUAGGACCCACCUUCAUUAUACCUAGCCUCACCACUGUAUGUUAUCAUAGGUCUAAAUGAUUAUAAAUGAUGGUUAUUAGGGUAUUUCAUCAAUAUAACUAAUCAUACUGAUGCAUCAUAUACAAGUAUUGCAUGUCAGGGGUACAAGUUUGAUGACAUUAUCAUUAAUAUGAUCUGAGGCUUGGUAACAUCAUUGCCAAAAUGAUUUUAUAGUCUUAAAAUUGGACGAAGUUCACAAGGUUUUUGGGAAACUGGUCAAUUAACAAACCAGAUAGCUAUGCGAUGAUGUAAAUUCUAUCACUAGAUCAUGGAAUAAGUAGUUUCAGAGUGAUUAUUAUUAUUAACCAUGCUAUUGUUUUUACUCAGUUAACCAUUUUUUACUCAGCUAUGCUAUUGUUUUGGAAAUUGGAGGAUGAAGUACAUUGCUCAAAUAAGCAAAAUGAGGAUUUCGGGGUCGUGUGAUGACCUUACAGGGUCACGUAAGUUCCACAGAGUAGCUAAACAUGUGCGUGUGAAAUCUGAUUAAAUGAAGUAGAAUAUGAUGCCAUUAAAUAAAUGUACUUUUUGGAGAAAAAGGUGGAACAUGGGUCAUGUCUUAUGGAACAUGGUUGUGUCCUAUGUUUUAAGUCCAUAAAAGAGUAUAUAACAUGUCCCCAGUCAAUCCUUACUCCUUAUUAAAAAAAAUAUCAUUAUGCCAUAAUGUAAGUUGGGUUUAUAGUCUUGAUGAAGUCAUGUUAGAUCAUGUUCUUAACCAUGUUAACUUUUUUACUCACUUAACCAUUUUUAACUUAUAGAUUUAAGAUAUAAUGGAUUAAUGGGAGUGUUUAGGAUCGACUUUUCAAAUCUUAUAUCUAUUUGAUUAACGUCACGUAUAAUUUUGUUAGUUUAGAUUUUUCCUCUAAAAGUAGCUGUUUUAUGCCAACUUCUUAUUUGUUUAUUUUUUUUUUCAUACUUUUAUGAAAAAAGAUACAGUUUGUCCUUUAAAAACAAUAAUUCGUUACAUAUUGUUUUCCCUCUAAAACAAAUAGGGAAUUGUUUUUCUAAUUUUACAAAUCUCUUUUAAUCCUAACAAUUGUAAUUUAGAAACUCCUUAUGGAUCAUUUAUACAACUGUUCUUUAUAUCCAUCUUGAUUUGGUUGACAACUAUUAUGACGAUGUUAAGAAGAACUGCAUGCCCAACUUGAUCAAAAUGAGAAGAAAGUUGGCUUCUUUUUGCAAUGCUGGACAAACCCAUAUCAUCUUUGAUAGGGUUGCAAUUGUAGUUAUUGUAAUUAUUCAAGAAUCUCUGUGUUGUGGUGAUUUUUAUUCCAAUUCGAAGUUCAUAAGCACCACUACAAGGAGAAAACUAAUAAAUGAGUAGGUUUCACCAUUUAGUUGUGGUUGGUGUUCAUCUUGUGAAUAUUAAAAGUAAUCCGGGUUCAAAAGUGUUGAAAUCUUGAGCAUAGAUGAAUCAGUGGCUGUGUGACAAAUAAAUAAGGUUUUGUAAAUAAGAUUUUUUUUUUCUCGCAAAAAAUCCUAAAAUUUUGGCCUACUUUACGUUUAGUCCCAAUUUUUUAUGAAAGAAUCUAGAAAACCGGCUAACAUUUUUAGUUUAAUCCCUUUUACAUUUUCAAAACGCAACCUGCUAAGUGGAAAUGUGGUUGAUAUUUUUUAUUUUUAAUAGAAAAGCCCCAACUGUUUGGGCCAGUUUACGUUUAAGUCCCAAAUUACUUUUUUACGAAAAAGUCUUGAAAACCGGCUAAAAUUUCCAGUUUAAUCAUUUUUUACAUUUUUAGUUUAACUUGUUGAGGCAGUGUGCCAAGGUUUGUGGUUGAUAUGACAUGACGUGACAGCUGACAUGACAUGCCACGUCAGCGCCAUUGCUUACUUUAAAAAAUCAGUUUUAUUUUGGGAGAAAAGAAGGGGAGGGGGACUCGAACCUGUGANAACUAGCAUGAUUCAACUUGUCUCCCCCCCCCCCCCCCCCCCCCCCCCCCCAAAAAAAAAAAUGAUAUUUUUAAGUAAGGAAGGAUGCUAACGUAACAUGCUACAUCAGCUGCCAUGUCAAGCCACCUCAACCAUCCUUUCUCCUUAGCAUGCCACCUCAGCAUGUUAAAUUGAAAUGUAAAAAAGGGUUAAACUGAAAAUGUUAACCCGUUUUUCAGGAUAUUAUCUUAAAAAAAAUAAAUUGUGACUAAAACGUAAAAUGGUCCAAAAUUUUGGAACUUUUCUACAAAAAAACAUCAACCACCUUUCCACCUUGGCUCCUCACCUCAACAGGUUACUUGAUGAAAAGGUAAAAAAUGAUUAAAAUGAAAUGUUAGCUAGUUUUCAUGACUUUCUCAUAAAAAAAUAAUAUGAGACUAAAACGUAAGGUGGACCAAAAUUUUGGGACUUUUUUUUACAAAAAGUCUAAGAAAAGGAUAACUGUUUGCACUUGCUAAAGAGAUGGAAAUGGAAGAGCAUAGAGGAAAUGGAAGCAAACAAUAUUUAAAAAGAGCAUAUAAUGCUUACUGAUAUAUGUUUUAAAAAUCAUAAUCAAUAUGUUUUGCAUUGAGAGUCGAAAUGGUAGUAAACAAUAUCUAAAAAGGCAUAAAAUUGCUUAUAUGUGUUUUAUUUAAACAUUUUUUUUAUAAAAGCUAGCUAGUGUGACAUCCUCUAAUUUUUGGAACCAAAAAUAAUUUUUUUUAUGCUUUGGAAAUCAUGAUACUUUAUUUGUGGAAAAUUUUCAGUAUAUUAAAAAUAUUUUGAGUAUAAAAUUGUCUUAAAUAAAAUUAUAAGGAUGUCAUAAUUAAUACAUAUACAUAAGUUACAGUGUAAAGACAUAAUGGUCCUGAACACCAUUGCAAACUUUCUCUUAAUCACUCAAAAUCCUAAUCAAGUUCUAGUGGCUUGAGUCUUGAUACCUAUGAUGCAUACAAACUGAGUGAGUCAGGUUGUGAAACUUGGUGAGAAACAUAGGGAUUUUAAUCUCAAAAUGUUAUUUUAUAUAUAUACUAGUUUAUAACCCAUGGAAACCACGGUUACAAAAUUAAUUAAAUUUUAUAGUAAAAACUUAAAAUUAUUAAUUAAUUAUUUUAAAUAAAUUAUUAAUUAAGAUUUUUUUUAGUUAUAUAAAUUUUAGUCAUUGAUUUAAAUAAAUAUGUGAAAUUAUAUCAUUUNNNNNNNNNNNNNNNNNNNNNNNNNNNNNNNNNNNNNNNNNNNNNNNNNNNNNNNNNNNNNNNNNNNNNNNNNNNNNNNNNNNNNNNNNNNNNNNNNNNNNNNNNNNNNNNNNNNNNNNNNNNNNNNNNNNNNNNNNNNNNNNNNNNNNNNNNNNNNNNNNNNNNNNNNNNNNNNNNNNNNNNNNNNNNNNNUCUUAACCCUACAAAACCAACUAAUACUAAACAACAUAUAUAAAUAAUUCCGAUUUGGAUAUUUAUAAAACCUCAUACCCAUACAUACCCACCCUAAUCGAUCCUCACAGAUCCUAUUCCAUAAUUAUCAGGAAGAUAAACCAUUUAGAAAGGACUUGACUAUAUCGCUAGGGGUUUCCUUGGCUAGAAAAAGUCAUAAAGGCACUCGUGCCAUCAAAGUAUCUGAAGAAUAUGGUAUCCCAUUUCAUCUACGUCUGUAGGUUAUAAAACCACACUAGCAACGUAAUUCAUAAGACCAUCUAGAAUGAUCAAGUGUUGUCAUCUUACUAUAAGAGAUGACCAGGCAUAUCAUUACAGUUGCCUGAUCUGGACCCACCAUUUAUGGUCAUCCAAAAAGGAAUACAAUUUGUACUCCAAUAUGUAUUUUUGUACCAUCAAAUCUGAAAGUGUCAAGGAACAGAACUCUACUCUCCAUUCCUAACUUACACACAUGCCUUGAAUAAGACUACCCGAUAUCAAACAUAAUUGAACUAGGUAUCUAUAAUAAGUCCUACCUUAUUCACGAAUAAUUAGGUAUUAAUAUACUUUUAUCCCUUUCCUUUAAUAAUACUUCUAUUAUUAUUAUCAUGUAAUAAAAGAUAUAUAUCUCUUAACAUAUUUAGAACCAUAUCUCGUUCGCAUAUCAUAUAUCAUCAAAUACAUUUCUAACACAUAAUCCAGACAAUAAACAUAUAUCUCACAUAUAAACUUUUCAAUAUAUAUUUAAUACUUUAAUUAAUACUUGUAUUAAAACCAUGUUCAUGAAAGGGACUAUGCAUUCACCUAACUUAUGUGGGUGACUGGAGAAUUCUGCAGUGCUUCACCAAACACUUUGACUUUUCCUUUGACGUGACCUAAGUACGAUUUAUACUGAGUAUUACUCAUGGUGACUAAUGAUAGUCUGUAACAUCCAAAUUUCCAAACCAAUUUUUUCGUUUUUAAAUUCAUAUAAAAACAUUGUUCAUAAAAAACAUCUCAAGAAAAUAAAAAAUGUCAAAUACAGAUCAUCAUCAAAAUAUUAGAGUGUCCCAAAAUAUCUGAAAUCAUAAACUGCCUGAAGCUUAGUAAGUUCCCUAAAAUACCACAUACAACACAACACAAAAUAAACAGAUAUAUGUUAUCAGCAACCAUGGAGACUACCCGAAGUCUCAUCGCACACAAUAACACAUAUCACAGUAAUAACACAUAGAUUCAACUGGUCAUCACAUAUAUAAAUAUAUUCUACCACAUAAGUAAGAAUGGUGAUAAGACUCACCUUGCGUACAUGACUGAUAGAACUCAUACCCGAACUGCCAGAACUAGACUCCGCCUAUUAAUUACACCAAUUAACCCUAAUUAAUAAUUAGGUAAUUUUCCAUACUCCACUAAUCCCAAGCCAAAUCUAAUUCACGUUUAGGGCAAAAGACCAUUUUGCCUAUUCCAAACCGAAAACCCUCACCAAUCCACCUAAGGCACAAUUGGUCAAAAAGUCAAAUGAAAGUCAAAGGUCAACACUCUGACCGUUACACGUUGUAUACUUAGCUCUACACUGGGCGUAGAGCGCAAGGUAGGAAAGGAUUAGGUUUGCAACUGGCUACGUUAACUCUCAGGAUUCGAGAAGGACUAGGCAGGCUCUUUAGGGCGAUUAUCCUCUUCCUUAGACAUAAAGUUAGACCCACUAGGUAAAUAAAGGAAUUACCAAGGUAAGACACAUAUCGCAAUAUUACAUCUACAGGCGGCCACGGGUCAUAACGCACUCUUCGCACAACAAAUCCAGGACAAAUCCCAUUUGAAAUGGAUGGUGUGAGUUUGUCAAAUGCUCGACAAGCCGCUAGCUUGAGAUUGAAUUCUUCCUAACAUACGACUGUCUUUCAUAAGAACAGGAAAGUGUAGCCAGAGUUACGCUUGGCGUACACGACUUAUCUCAAAACUUAACUUUUAAGGUCUUAAUCAUUAAGACACUUUACCCCAACCUCAUAUCUGACCUUAAAAGAUAUCCUAAUCCAUAAAGCCUCUGACUUUAUGCCUUUGCAUGGUUAAAGAAAUGUAACACCCAAAAUCUGGAAGGCCAAGAAAGGAAAGAAAACCCUAAUUUUUAGGGGCAACUCGGCGAGUCCAAGGAGGAACUCGGCGAGUCCGAGCGGGAUCCGGGUCGAGGAGUAAGUGACCAACUUGGCGAGUCAGCCAAGUGGACUCGGCGAGUCUGGUCUGUGCGAGGAAAACCCUAAAUUCGGGACUUGGAGCCUAUUUAAACGUCUCAUUCUCUCCCCUAGGGUUCCUUUACUGCCUCUCUCACCCAGAAAGCGAACCCUAAGCCUCCAUUGUUGUGCAUUUAAGCUUCCAAGCCAUUUUUGGGUGAUUUGAAGGAAGAAGAAAGAGGGGAAUCAGUGAAGCUUCAAGGAUUGGCUUCAGAUCUGGAGUUUGUGGAGCCUUUCUGAGGUAUUGAAGGUAUUAAGUCAUUUCCUUCCUUUAGAUCUUCUAGGGUUGUGAGAUUUGGGGCCUUUUAAGCCAUGAUUAGUUGUCCAUUUGAGUUAGAAGCCGGAUCUGGAGUUGCUACUUCAGAUCUAAGCCGAUUUUGGUUUUGGGAAGCAUAAAGUUUCAGCCCUUGAGUUGAUUAUGGAGCCUCCUUGCCUUAAACCCUAGUUUAUGGUGUAUUUUGCCUAGAUCUCCUUCUCUACACGUAAAGUUUGCAACUUUACAUGAGGAAUGGGCUUGGGAAUGGUAGAUCUAGUCCAUGCAUGACUCAAAAGUCCUCUGCAUGUAUAGAGAUCUGAAUGGACUCGACGAGUCCUUUGAGUGGACUCGGCGAGUAGCAUGGAGACGAGGAGGAACUCGAUGAGUGGGAUGAACAACUCGUCGAGUCAGAUGAAGUUGGGUAGGAACUCGGCGAGUUGGAUGAACAACUCGACGAGUCUGUUGAAGGUUGUCUUGGACUCGGCGAAUAUGUUCUUGGACUCGGCGAGUCAGGUCGCGAAACCCCAAACCCUUCGAGUUGAGACUCGAAUCAGUGAGUCGAAUGGAGACUCGGUGAGUUGGACAGGUCAGGACUCGGAAAUCGGUAGACUCGGCGAGUCAUGGACUGACUCGGCGAGUCGAGUCGCGAAUAGAAGGACUCUGAACAUAUGAACUCGGCGAGUCAAUAGGGUGACUCGGCGAGUAGGGUUGACCUGGAAGGUUGACUUUGAUCAGGACUUUGACUUUGACCAGAGUUGACUUGGUUGUCUUUCGGGGGUCAGUUAGACUCAGUGUUGCAUUGAUAUUGGUAGCUCGGGGAGCGAGUGGAGCAGGAGUUCAGAGAGUUGUCGGGCAGCAGCUAGUGGGUUCAUCAGCCAGUUCAGCCAGUGCAGGUGAGUUUCCCUUUGUAUGAAUGGGUCUACGGCCACAAUGCCGGCCCAUGUAGUUAUGAGUAGAAGACCCGGGGGUUAGCCCUAGGCACAGUAUGCUAGUAUGAUAUUCGGGACGAGGUCCAAUGAUAGAGGGCGGGUGCCCAAGGAAUGGUUUAUGUGAUAGUUUAUACUUGUUGUCUGUGUGAUACUUGUAUGUGCCUGGUAGGGAGGUGAGUGUGGGNNNNNNNNNNNNNNNNNNNNNNNNNNNNNNNNNNNNNNNNNNNNNNNNNNNNNNNNNNNNNNNNNNNNNNNNNNNNNNNNNNNNNNNNNNNNNNNNNNNNNNNNNNNNNNNNNNNNNNNNNNNNNNNNNNNNNNNNNNNNNNNNNNNNNNNNNNNNNNNNNNNNNNNNNNNNNNNNNNNNNNNNNNNNNNNNNNNNNNNNNNNNNNNNNNNNNNNNNNNNNNNNNNNNNNNNNNNNNNNNNNNNNNNNNNNNNNNNNNNNNNNNNNNNNNNNNNNNNNNNNNNNNNNNNNNNNNNNNNNNNNNNNNNNNNNNNNNNNNNNNNNNNNNNNNNNNNNNNNNNNNNNNNNNNNNNNNNNNNNNNNNNNNNNNNNNNNNNNNNNNNNNNNNNNNNNNNNNNNNNNNNNNNNNNNNNNNNNNNNNNNNNNNNNNNNNNNNNNNNNNNNNNNNNNNNNNNNNNNNNNNNNNGCGAGGCCUAAGUGAAACAGUUCUGUAUCCGAGCGGGGCUCGAAGCCAGGCGAGGCCUGGAGCGGCGGGGCCGUUGUAGCGGGCGAGGCCCGAGGUAGGGGCCGAGGCCCAGAAUAGCGGGCGUGGCACAGUAUGUGCAGUAUGUGGUUAUGUAUGGUAUGUGGUAGGGUGGGGAACUCACUAAGCUCCGUGCUUAUGGUUUUCAGUUUUGGUUUCAGGUACUUCAGGUAGCGGAGGGAAGAGCUCGGGGUGAUCGCAUGGCACACACCAUAGAUUAGACAGCCUAGGAAUGUUUUACUCUGAUAAUGAGCCUAUGUUUUGGAAAUUAAUACUCUGAUUAUGUUUGGAUUGAUGGUUUUGCUUAAGUAAUGUUUUAUUAAAAGAAAAUUUUUAAUCUUGAAUUUUGGGACGUUACAAGUUGGUAUCAGAGCCUUGGUUUGAGGGAUUCAGGCAUACUCUCGGGUGUGCCUGAACUCAAACUGAGGGGUCGGAUAAAAAGUUUUCAAAAAUGAAAAGACAGUUUUGUAAAAAGAAUUUUGAGAACGAAAAACAGUAUUAGAAAAGCAAAAAGAAUUCAGAAAGAAAAGAACUUUGAAAAGAGAAAAGGGGUGUGGUGCGUGCAAUCAGCCGAGCUCGAGUAAGUACCCUAAAAUACCCAUACAGGUUUAUGUUAUGAUUAUCAGUUAAUAGAACAGCAUGCUAGAUUAGGACUAAGGAUUUAGGGAUGAUGCCUUAUGUGCCUGUUAUAUGUGCUUUUGCGCCGCAUGAUAGUGCUGAUUAGACAGUAGUAGGAUAGCCUGUUUAGGUUAUGCCUGAGUUUAUGAGUUUGUAUGAGUCUAUGAGUUUGUGUUGCAUGCUAGUUCAGUUUCUUACUAUGUUGAUAUGAUUGCUUGAGUAUGUCAUGGUUAGAUUUUCCCUUGUCUAAAUGCUGCUUGCUCUGUGCAUUGUGGGAUUCUGAAUAAUGGGAGUUAGCCCUUAGGUGGAUACGACACGUCACAUGUGAUCAGGGUUGAAUAAUCUCAGAGUGUUGGAUUUGGUCCUAUUGCGCAGCUCUCGUUUGAGUCCAACCGUUGUAGGGACGAGUCCUUCACUUGAAGGAUUAUCUGAGCCUCGUCACAUGUGAUGGUAUCCAGGUGAUGGUUAAUUGGCAUCGCAAGGAGACCUUCAGCAGCUGAUGACUGGUUUGAGUUGAGUCAGAGGUUUCCCUAGGGUAAGCCUAGGAUGAGAUAGUGCUGGGAGCAGUAGUAGUGGAUAAGGGACCUGGUGGAGUCAAAACAAUUCCUAAGGAAAGUACGGAUAGAUGUGGAAGGUAGUAUGGGCCCGUACUACUGAAAGCAGAGGAUCCGUACUCGAUUCGGGAAAGGCCAAGACAAGACCGGGAACCUGGUAGGGUGUGUUUGGUCUCGCAGCAGUGAUCAAUAUUUUGAUUGAGGAUGUAUUAUAUUUUCAGCAUGGUGACGUUGCGUGAGAGACCAACGGGCGGACCACGCGCCGGAGAGGGAUCAGACUCGGGUUCAGGGGCCGAGCAGCUCGAGGAACGAAUGAGGGAGUUGAUAUCAGCUGAGGUUACGCGCAAUAUUCUAGAUAAGACUCCUGUGAUCUGUGGCACGGUCAAGGAGGGUAUAUUGGAGAUUUUGGAUGAGAGGUUGGGAGCCUUUCGUACUGAGAUGAUGGCAUUGAUGGGAACGCGUACCUUGACAUUUCGGGAGUUCAGGGCUUGCGGGACACCAGAUUAUCAUGGGGCUAGGGACCCCAUCGCUAGCAGCAGAUGGUUGGCUGAUGUUGCCAACGCGUUUCGUACGAGCCGGUGUUCUGAGGAGGACAAGGUCAGCUGUCUUCUGAAGGACAGAGAAAAUGGCUAAAAUGAAAUUUUUUCUGAAAAACAAUAGCAAAUGGGUAACAAAAAAAAUAUUGGGGCUAAAUGCAAAAUUAUACAUAAAUGUUGGGGCGAAAUGCAAACUGAGGAAAAUGCAAAACCGAUACAUCAUGACCCGGUUAAGGGCUUGAAAAUGAAACGUUUUCUAAAAUAUAAUGGCAAAUGAACAAAAAAUAAAAUUGGGGUUAAAUCAAAACGAAGGUGUAUAAAUAAUGGCUUUUAAGGUAUUAACCCUUGUUUAAAAUUCAGUUAUGAUUAGUAUAAAUAUGGACUAUGUUUUGGUAAAUUCAAGUUUUCGAUUUCCAACAAUAAAUUCUUUGGUUAGCAAGACUCUCCUUAUUAUUCCUUUGUUUCUCAUGUUUCUCCCACUGCAUAUUUUUCUUGGGCAUCAAGGGAUAACCAGAUCAAUACCUUAUAAUGGCCAUUAUUCCCAACAUCGAGAUCCCAAAUUCUAUGAACAUUUUGAUAUAUUUCACAUUUGUGAACGAUAAUUAAUAAUAUUUUGAACAAAAUUUACUACCAAUAGUCACCACAAGAACACUUACCAUCUCUAAAAUGAUGAAACCUAAAAGGAUCUCUAAGUAUAAUUUUCCGCCUCACAAUCUCACUUACAAACUUAAACAACUCAUGACAAUCACCACAAACACGAAGAUUCUUAAAUAUCUGCAAAUCCGAACCUUCCGGCGUACUAAUCAAUCCAUAUGCAAGUGCCAACCUCUCACUAUGCUUCCAUAAAUGAUCCUCCUUUUGUUCUUCAUCAAUAUCUUGCAAUGCAAACUUCAUAUCACAAACAUAACCACUUUCUUUAACCAUUUUCUUAAUCUCAUCUAAUUUCCCAUAUAUCUUUCCACUCUCAGGGUGCGAUUUAUCCCCUAUCGCAAAAGAACUCACCUUUCUUUUCAUCUUAAUCCAACUACACGCGGGUUUCUUCUUAACAUUUCCAAAUUCCAUUUCUGAUCUAACAUCAUGAACAAAGUCCCAUUUCCCAAUACUUGCACAUACAUUUGAGUAAAGAACAAAAGCCGAAUCAUCUAAUGGAUUUGAUUCAAGAAGAUGUUUUAACGCUUGUUUUCCCAAUUCUAAAUUCCCAUGAAUUCUACACGCAGCUAACAAGCUUCGCCACACAAAGUCAUUUGGUGGGACCGGCAUUUUCUUGAUGAAAUUUUCAGCUUCUAGAAGCUUCCCGGAUCUUCCAAGAAGAUCAAUUAUACAAACACAAUGUUCUAUACCAAUAGGAACUCCAAAUUUUGUUGUCAUUAAAGAAUAAUAUUCAAGACCCUUGUCUACUAAACCUCCAUGACUACACGCAGAUAACAAAGAAACAAAAGUGACAUGAUCAGGCUUAAAUCCCAUUUUCACCAUUUCAUGAAAAGCUUCUAUUGCUUCCUGAAACAAUCCUUGUCUUGCAAAUGAUGAUAUUAGAAUAUUCCAUAACACUAUUGGUCGAAUCUUUGCUUCUGGAAGCAUUUUCAUCACAUCAUUUAUCUCGCCACAUUUUCCAUACAUAUCCGUGACAGCUGUCGUAACAUAUUGAUGCGAGUCAAACCCGGAUUUAAAAGUCAAACCGUGAAUCUGUUGACCUUCUUCAAGAGCAGACAAGGUAGAAGCAGCAGAAAGAGCCGAAGAGAGAGUAAACUGAUCCAAAUGAAUUCCAUUUUUCUUCAUCUCUGUGAAUCUUUUUAAAACCUCUUCUCCAUGUCCAUGAGCAUUUGCAGCAAGAAACGCGUUCCAAGAAACGUAAUCUUUGUUAACAAAUCCAUUAAAAAUACGUGUACUUGAAUCCAAAUCGUUACACUUUCCAUACAUUGUAAUAAGGGAAUUUUUCACAUAAUCAUCCGAAUCAAAACCAGAAAGAAUCAGAUACCCAUGUAAUGGUUUCCCAUGGCUGAAAAGUUGAUUUGGAGUAACACAAGAACUAAGAACUUGAAUCAAGGUUAUGUGGUUAAUGGGUUCAUUUUGUUUUCUCAUAAAGUUAAAAGCUUUGAUUGUUUGAUUUGGUUGUUCACAUUCGGUGUAUCCUCCAAUCAGAGUGUUCCAUGUCACCAAGUCUUUUUCGGGCAUUCUUUCAAAGACUUUUUCAGCUUGCCACAUCAUCUUUUGCUUUCCAUACAUUGUGACUAAAGCAUUUCCAACAAUUAGGUUUCCAUGGAAACCAGAUGUGAAUACAAGUGCGUGAAGGAUUUCGGCUUCUGCUAAAAAAUCAUGGUUUGAACAAGCAGAUAAUGCGCUAGAAAAAGUCACAUGAUUUACAGGUCUUUGUCUCUGAAGCAUUUUAACAAACACUUUCAAGGCAUCAAGGUGCACCCCUUCUUGUAUAUAACCAGAUAUUAUUGUAUUCCAUGAGAUUAAAUCCUUAUCUGGCAUCUCUUCAAAUAACUUUACCAUGUCCUUGAGCUUUCCGGUUUCUGAAUAAAAUAGCAAAAGGGUAUUGCAUAGAGAUAAGUUUAAAUCAAACCCUAGUUUGUGGACCAAACCAUGAACAGCAGCACCAUAGAGGAGAUUGUCCAUGGAGCUACAUACUGAUAACAGUGCAGAAAGUGUAAUUGGAUCAAGAUCUUCAUGGAGAUGACGCAUGAAUUUAAAGCAUUGAAAGGACUCCUUGAAUGAAUGAUUGCGUGCAUAUGCAGAAAUCAUGGAGUUCCAUGAAAUAGUGUCACGUGUACUCAUUUGAUUGAACACAUAGCAGGCGUCUUGUAUGCUACCAAUAUUACCAAACAUGGAUAUAAGAGAAUUGGACACUGAAAGAUCAUAUUCGAAUCCAGAUUUUAUGACAUGUCCAAGAACUUGAAGACCCAAUGACUCGUUUUCCAAAGAUCCACAAGAAGUUAUCACAGUGGUGAAUGUGUUCUGGUUACAUUUGACAUCUUCAUGCUUCAUUUUGUGGUAUAAGUUUAUGACCUCCAUGGGAUUUCCAUUAUCAGAGUAGCCAACCAUCAAUGAAGUCCAAGAUACCACGUUCUUUUCUGGCAUCUUGUCAAAGAGACUAUGAGCACUGGAAUGGAAUCCAUAUGAAGUAUAAAAGUUUAGAAGGGCUGUUCCUGCAUACACAUUAUAUAAUAAACCGUUUUUCAAAAUUAAACCAUGGAUUUGAAAUCCUUGAUGUAGCAUAAAGCCUGAACCAGUGCAUCCGGUUAAUAAACUAGCGAUAACGAAGCCACUUGUCUCAAAUCCUUGAGCACGCAUUUGACUUAACAAAAGAAAGGCGUCUGAGUACAAUGAAACUCGAACUAAAGCAGAGAUCAUGGUAUUCCAUGUAGCUUCGUUUCUCUGAGGCAUUUCAUCGAACACGUAGCGAGCAGCUUCGAAUUUGCCGUGUUUUGAGUACAUAUUGAUCAAAGUAUUUGUAUGGAAUAUGCUUAGACGGAGGUAAUUCUUUAUACAAAAAGCAUGUAGUGAUUUUCCAACAGUCUCGUUGGUGAUCUCCGAGAAACCCUUCUCUAAAAAAACUGAGAUAAUGGUUCCUCCAAAUUGGUGCAUCCCACGAUGUAGAGACUUGAGGCUUGAACAUGGCGUCAAAGCGUUCCAGUAGAGAAACUGAUUAGCUAUGACACCAACUCGGUGCAUACCCAGGAACAGCAUCAGAGUUUCCUUGGCGAAGCCAAUUUAAGUAUAUACUCGGAUAAUAAUGCAGUCCAAGAAACCAUCCUUCUCAUUGUUCAUUUUAACGAACACAUCACAUCACGGGCGCCUUUCAUGCCACCAGCUUGAGAGCAGUCCAUCUCCCGAAUGUCAUUUUAAUCUGUAUUUUCUCUCCUAUUCUUCUCAAACUUUAUCCUAUUUCUUCAAAUAUGGAGAUAUAUUGUGAUGAAGUUUUGUAGGUUUUAUUCUAUCUUUUUAUAUAUUUAUAUAUUUAUAGUUUAUUUUAUCUCCUAGAUUUUAUUUAAAUACUAAUAUUUGUAAUAUUAUAUUAAUUAAUCAUCCAUAUAAAAUUUAUUUUUAUUUAUCGAAUUCAUAUAAAAAAUUAAAUACAUAUUAAAAUCAUGAAACAUGAUAAUAUAUUUAUUUAUGAGUGUAUUAUAAAUAUAAAUUUAUUUAUGUAAUAUUACUGUAAUGAAAAAAAAUAUAUAUUAUAUAUUUGUUAAAACCAAAUUAGUAGAAGAGUGUGUUUGACAAUCUAUGUAAGUUGGAAAAAUAAAAUAUACAAAAAAUAUAUUUUUUGGGGGUAAAAAACAGAGUAAAAAAUGAAAUAGGGUUGGAGAUGAAAUACUAUUUACUCCAUUUUUUGGAAGAAAAAAAUAGAGGUAGGUUGGAGAUGGUCUUAAAGAAUUUCGUCCGCUAAACACUCCAAAUUAUAGAGAUUCUUUUUUGGGAGAAUUUGGUAAGAUUGUCAACAAAAAUAAGGGAAAUGUGUAUUAAAGUCCUUAAAGAUUGAUUCCAUUAACGGAAAAGUCAUCCCUAUUUUUUUUUUUCUUUUUACAAUUUUACCCCAUAUACCGGCUAUCGUUUGCAUCUUGUCUCCAAUACCAGGUUACCGCUUACGUAAUCAAUCACUUUGGCUGAUGUGGAGGACAUGUAAUUUAAAAAGGCGUUUAGGGGUAAAUUCUAACAUAAUUCAUCAAAAGUAGCAAUAAUCGAUCAAGGGGGAAAAGGAGAAUGGCUUCAUCUCCUUCAGUUGAAAGUAUUCGUCGAACUAUGACAACCCAAGUUGUAAGAGAGACGUGCUAUUAUGGAGAUGUAUGUGGAAGGUGGACUUCCGGACAACAAAAAAUCCAUGUCGAAGAUUUGUGGGAUGGCCUAAUUAUAAGGUAAAGGCUUUACACAUUACUUAGAUGAACAAAUUAUGAUUUUGUGGUUUUGGUUUUAGGAUGAAGAGAAGGAUUGUGAGCACUUUGCUUGGAUAGAUCCUCCACUACCCACGAAAUGGUACAAAGACCAAAAGUUUGAAUUGUAUAACUAAGCAACUGCUUAAAAUGUAGGAGUACAAGCAACAUUGGGAUGUAGUGAUUUGGGAAAUCCAACUCAAGGUCUUCAAGUAGCAGCAACAGUGCAAGGUGGUGGUGGUAUAUCACUUGGACUUUUGAAGAAUGCAAUAUAUGUUCUUGUAGUUGUUGUAGUGGUCCUGGUAUGUGGUAAAAUGGUGUAAUAUUGUAUUUCUCAAUGUAUUGUGUAACAACCCAAAAUUUUCAAUAAAAUUUUUCAUUUUUAAAUAAUGAAAUCAUAUCCAUGAAUUAUAAAACCCCAAUCAUAAUUGUUUUCAAAACCCAUAACAUCAAAUAAAUUAUUCAUAAAUCAGAGUGUCCCCAAACAAAAUACCAGAGAGUGCAUGCCGUGCCAUUAUGCCUAGCCCUUGCCCUUAGAUCCUGAAGUACUUGAAACAACCAACAAACUGUAAGCUAACACUUAGUGUGUUCCCUAGAGCCUACCCCACAUAACACACAUAAUCAUACAAUCCAUAUAAAUCCCAUAAUCCAUGCAUGUAAACAUAUAGGGAUGUCGUGGGCUCCCACCAGGGUCUUACACCUAUGUGUCAUGGGUUCCUCCAUGGUUUUUACCUGGAAUGCCAUGGGCUCCCCCACAUGGUCUGAUAUCUAAGUGUCAUGGGCUCCCCCAUGGUCUUUACUUGGAAUGUCAUGGGCUCCCCCACAUGGUCUGAUAUCCAAGUGCCACGGGCUCCCCUGGGUCUUCCAUGCAAGUAUCCCAAAGACAACUAACAUAUUACAUACCACAUUGUAACAUCCUAAGUCCAGGUAUACCUUGUAACCCUUGGUAUUUUGUGUACUUGUCCAUUUCCGCCCUUUUUGAGGAAAGGUGGUGAAUAAGUACGCAUGACGUAUGCGAGUAUACGCUCAAUGUAGUCAUGUGCGUGCUUUUGAUACAUAAUCCACCUAGUAUGCUGGCCAUUGCUGCAUUUCAUGAUUAUGAAAUAUGGAAAAUGGAUGUCAAAACCGCUUUCCUUAAUGGGAAAUUGGUUGAGGAUGUUUACAUGGCUCAGCCAGAGGGUUUUGUCAAUGCGAAGCAUCCUAAUAGAGUGUGCAAGCUUGAGAAGUCCAUUUAUGGACUUAAGCAAGCGUCUCGCAGAUGGAAUCUUUGCUUCGAUGAGAAAGUCAAAGACUUUGGGUUUAUACGAAGCGAAGAUGAAUCAUGUGUACAUGUCAAAGCCAGUGGGAGUAUAGUUAGCUUCCUCGUAUUGUAUGUUGAUGACAUACUACUCAUAGGAAACGACAUCCCGACACUACAGGAAGUUAAAUCCUGGCUCGAGAAGUGCUUCGCUAUGAAGGACCUCAGAGAGGCUUCCUAUAUUUUAGGAAUAAGGAUGGCGAGAGACCGAAGUAAGAGACUAAUAGGAAUUAGUCAGAAUACUUACUUGGACAAAGUACUAAAACGUUUUAGUAUGGAGAACUCAAAGAAGGGAGAGUUACCAAUCCAAAGUAAUGCCAAGUUGAGUAAGACUUAAUGCCCGAGUACCGAAGUCGAGAUAGCAGAAAUGAGCCCAGUACCAUACGCUUCCGCAGUUGGCUCGAUUAUGUAUGCUAUGACUUGUACUCACCCUAAUGUGGCCUUCGCUUUGAGCAUGGUCAGUAUAUAUCAAGGGAACCCUGGUAGAGCGCAUUGGACCACAGUCAAGAAUAUUCUUAAGUACCUUCGGAGGACCAAGGAAUGGUUUCUAGUCCUCGGAGGGAGUGAUGACUUAAAAGCGCGAGGGUAUAGUGACGCCAGUUUUCAGAUCGACAGGGACAACUACCGUUCGCAGUCGGGCUGGGUCUUUACCCUUAAUGGAGGAGCAGUGACUUGGAAAAGUUCCAAGUAAGAAACCAUAGCCGAUUCAAUGUGCGAAUUAGAGUACAUUGUAGCGAGNAGCCCAUGGAAAUUUUCUGUGAUAAUGAAGGAGCGGUUGCCUUGACCAAGGAACCGAGGGAUCAUGGUAGAUCUCGACAUAUCGACAUAAAAUAUCACUUUAUUAGACAUCGUGUAGAAGAAGGACAACUCGUAGUGAAGAGGAUAUCAUCUAAAGAUAACCCAGCAGAUCCGCUUACAAAGGGACUUAGUAGGGUUAAGCACUUGCAGCACGCUAGGAGCAUUGGGCUGAAGGACGAUAUUAGUUUAGAUUAUAUAGUUUAGAAACGUGUAAUAGAUAAAUGUAAUUGACAUUUGAUGAUUAAAUAAAGGAGUAUUAUUUAUAAGUAAAGUUACUGUCUUAUGUUGAUUGUUUAACUAUUGUUUCACUUUGCAUGUUUUGACUUCCUGAAUAAUUGAGUUAUUUAAGAAUAAUCGAAUUAUUCGAACGGUCCACAGUCGUUCAUAUGUUGGAAGUAGAUAUGAAUGAAGACUGUCAUGAAUAGGUGUGUAGAUUGUCUAAAAGGUAUUAGACAUAGCAAAGGUUUGCUACAACGUUCAUGAGUGCUUAUGAACAAGUUUUGAGCAUUGGAAUAAACCCGUGCUUGCUGGAAUCACUUCAUGGAAUUUAUCACGAGUGAUCGCGAGACGAUAAUAUCAUAUGGUCUUAAAACCUAGAUAUAUGGUUUAUUGUUGGCUGAUUGGUUGUGCAUUGAUAAUGCGAAAACGCAUCACUAACUUGAUGUCAUAAAACACAUUGUUGUGUAAGAUUUGAUUAGUGAGUAGUAAAUGCAUAUAAGUCGAAGUUUAUCUGUUCCUUUUAUCCUAAGAGGGUAAAAGCGAUAUCAGGGCCCCUCGAUCAUUUGAUUUGACUUAUAUGUUGGGCCCGGUCAGGACUGAAUUGAUGUGUUCAAUUAAGUUAUAUGUCAAAUGAAUCUGAGAUCGAGAAACAAAUUGUUGGACAAUAAGAAUGACUAUGUUCCAUGUAAUUGUCCGCACGAUAUCUAGAACAGAGGACUAUACGAUUCCUUAUCUAAAGGACAGGUUACUGAUAAGAUUAGAGUUCGACAACGUCUUUGAGAGCUACGAUUGUUAAUCGGAAUAUGCUUACAUUAUAGUUACUAGACUUAUCCAAGUGGGAGACUGUUGGAUUAGUGUCUAAGCCCUUAACUAUAUUUGGUAAGUGCUUGACCCGGUUGUGCAUGGUCCUUUUGGGUUGCCUUCACCAUAGCAACUUGACAGGGUAAUUUAUGGAGAAAGAGAGAAGAUACUAUGAUUAUUAAUAUAUUAUAAGAAUAAUAUAUUUAAGGAGUAAUCAUAUUAUUUAAUUAAUAUUAGUCAAAAAUUAAUUAAGAAUUAAUUUGGUGACUAAAAGAGAUUAAUUAAAUAAAGGGGCUUAAACUGUCAAAUGUGUGAUAGUUGGAUUUAGGGUUGGGAAACCUUAUUGAUUAAAGGGGGAACGAAAUUAUGAUGGGGAUCCAUCAAAAUUUCAUCCAUAGUCCCUAUUCCAUAAGGUUCCAUGGGCUGCUUGGUGAUUAAGCUGUCCAUUAGGGUUUUGGCAGAAAAGCCUACAGUAUAAAUAGAGACCCCUAUAUGUAAUUUUCGGCCACUUGAUUCCAAGAGAAACCCUAGGGAUGAUUUUAGCAUCCUCUCUUCUCUCUCAUAAUUGCCUUCUUGCUAGUUGGUGUUUGUAAGCUGUUAGAGGAGUUACACUUAUGACUCUAAGCUCAAGGAAGAAGAAUAUUCAAGCAAGUAAUAAGACGUAAUCUUCUAGAUUUGUUUUGGUCAUUAUAAUUUCGAGUUAUUAUCAUUAGAUCUAGGGUUAAAAAUCCUUGGAUGAAUGCAUGUACAAUUAGAGAAACCUAGAUCCAAGCAUUAGGGUUUGCAUGAGCACAUAGGAUGUUCUUGUGGCUCAAACCCAUCAGAAACACCAAUCCUUGAUUUACCCGAAAGAGUUGAAGACUUUGUAGUUUACAGUGAUGCAUAUGGACUUGGAUUAGGUUGCGUUCUAACCCAUAGAGAUAAAGUGAUAGCAUAUGCAUCCAGACAACUGAAAGCACAUGAACAUAACUAAUGCACUCGUGAUUUGGAGUUGGUAGCAGUGGUUUUUGCGUUGGAGAUAUGGAUACAUUAUCUUUAUAGCAUGAGGUGUAAGAUUUUCACUGAUCAUAAGAUUCUUCAGUAUCUCUUUGAGCAAAAGGAGUUGAACAUGAGAAAAUAUGCUGACUAGAAUUACUCAAGGAUUGUAACUGUGAGAUAUGUUACCACCCUUGAAAAGAGAAUGUCGUAGCAGACGUUUUGAUUAGAAAAAUAAACCUAGAGAGGAAAAGGCCAAGAACGCUAAGAAUUGAAAUUGUCUUAAUGAUUGUAGAAAGUAUCAAGAAAGCUCAUAAGGAAGCCUUAGAAAAGAAGAAAAUUGAAAAGAAGAAUGUUUGGGAAAAUAUUAGUGUUUGGAACAAACAACCAAGGGUUGAAGGUAUUCCAAAACAAAAAUUGGGUGCCUAAGACGGGAGGUAUAAGAGAUCUUCUCAUCGAAGAGUCUCAUGAAACCAUGUACGCUACUUAUCCUGGAAGCACCAAGAUGUAUAUGGAUUUGAAACCAUAUUACUGGUGGUAGAUGAUGAAGUUCAAUGCUACUAAGUAUAUGGAUUAGUGUGUGACAUGCACAAGAGUUAAAGCUCAACAUCAGAAACUGUAUAGGAAUUAGGAACCUUUACCAGUACCUAUGGGUAAGUAGGAAGACAUCACCAUGAAUUUUGUGACUGAAUUACCUAGGAUGAAGAUUGGUCAUAACAUAAAUUGGGUGAUUGUGGAUCAAUUGAUGAAGAGUGCGUAUUUCAUAGCAUUCAAAGAGAGAUUGUCUAUGGAAAAACUCGCAAAAGUUUACAUGAAAGAGAUAGUGAAAGAUCAUGGUGCCCCUUUGACAAUUGUUUCAGAUCGUGAUAAGUUUUGUACUUAUCGAUUUUUGAGGAGUCUACACGUAGAGAUGGGUACAAAACUAUGUUUGAGUAAUCCUUAUCAUCCACAAACUGAUGGUCCAAGUGAGAGAAUGAUUCAAACACUAGAUAUAUGUUGAGAGCUUGUACGUUGGAGUUUGUGGGUAAUUGGGAUGAGAAUUUACCAUUGGUGGAAGUUUCUUACAAUAAUAGUUACCAUUUGAGCAUUAGGAUGGCACAUUAUCAUGCACUGUAUGGAUAUAAGUGUCGUCGCCAUCUUGUUGGCUUAAAGCCAGAGAGAAGUAGUUUAUGGGUCCUGAGAUUGUCCAUCAGACUGCUAAGAAGUUAAAAGUGAUCAAAGAAAGAAUACUAGCAACUCAAAACCAUCAAAAAAGUUAUGUUGUAAUGCCCGCGUUUCUCACUAGGCAUUAAUAAGAUGAUGUAAUAGUUAUGGUCAACAAUUGUAACCUAUUUGCUGUAAUAAAGAAGAAUUAUGUGAAUAUUAUGUGUUUCAUGAUUAUAAUAAUAUAAUACAAUAGGAAAAAUCAAACGAAUCGCCAGUAAAUUGUAAAAAUAAGUGCGCCAAAACAUAUAUAUUAUUAUAUAUUUAGAAAAUACAUGUCGUCUUGAUCCCGAAAAUAUACAUUUCGUAGAAAUCCGACUCAUAAUUAAUUAUAUGAUUUUUAUAAGAUAUAAGACUCAGUCGCGCACAAGGAAUGUGUGACAUAAAAGUAGGCCUGGCAAUGGAGUGGUGCUUUGACCCUGAUCCGAUCCAAACCCUUAACAAUUAUAUGAGUUUGGAGCAUAGUUUUUGAUCCAUUUACCCGUUAACGACCCGUACCCGCUAACCCUUUUAUUAAAAGGGUCGGGUAUGGAUCAUUACCGAUCCACUCCAUUUAUAACUCGCCCCGUAUAAAUUUUAGAAUUAUACAUUUAUAUUUUAUACUGCCUAAGUUUUACUUUAAAUUCCAAUCAAAACUCCAAAGACUAAAUUGUUUUUACAUAGGACUCGAGGGUUUGAUUAUUUAAAACCCUACGGGUUACAGAGAGGGUUUGGAUCGGGUUUUGGAAUUUGUUAAAAGGGUUUGGAUUAAGGUCGAUUCGCUCCAAACCCACUCCAUUGCCAGGUCUACAUAAAAGCUACAAAGAUAAUGGUUUUGGAAUUUUGUUUCGUGCGUGGUGCACGCGAGGUACACAAUGCACGCUUGUAAAAGGUGAAAACGCUGACCAUAGAGAGGCCGACACGUGGCACAAAGUGGUUGGGAGACGUUGCCUUAAAAUGCAUGACGUGCACCUCAUUUGCACACCAUGCAUCCCAAAUUUAGCUAUAAAUAGCCUAAGAUGCCCCAUCUAAGGCCAAAAUCCCAAAAUUUCCUUAGUUCUAAGUAUCUGGUAAAGACAUGAUAUCCCUUAAAGCCCCACAUCUAAGGUGCUAGUAGGAUGGAGUUCUGCCAUUACAAUUUUCGAACUUUUGUCUAGGGAAUCUCUGUAAGUUAAAUUACACUCGACCUUAUCUUAGUGUAAUUUAUAUUUAUAAGUCAUAGUCGUUAUUAUGAACCUAUAAAUAAGAUUUAUCAGUAAUUCCAAGUCAUAAUAUUGAUCAAUCUUCUUACGGGAGAGGUGUCUAGAAUGGUCACGUUGGCUUGGUUGUUGGAUUUUAGAAUGGCUAUACGUUGAAAUGGUCCUACCUCCCAACUGUCCUCCUGGCUGAUCCUUAUUUGAUAAAACUAUCAAUAUUCUUUGGAAUAAUUGAUAGGUCUAGACUAUUUUCAGUCACGUAGAAUAUUAGGCUAAGACAUAGUUAUAAUGAUACUAGGGUAUGUCAAAGGAAAAGUUUGCUGCUAGAAGCGAAAUGUUGUCUGAGUUUUGAGUCAUUACUUUAACAAGUGAGUGCAUAGUUACUUUCAUCUUACACAUAGAUAUGAUGUACUUAAGAUAAUGACAUGCUAUAUAUACCUAUUAUCUGUGUUCCUAAAAUCUAUGCUAGAUGAACGAUUAUACAUGUUUUACUUGAUUUAAAAUAUAUAUAUAUAUAUAUAUAUAUAUAUACCUAUGUAGAGAUGGGUAGAUGAAAUAUGAUAUAGAUGAAGAGAUAUGAAAGAUGUAAUAGAUUAUGAGAGGCCUUGACUUUAAAGAUGAUCUAGUCGUUUAGUGGAAUAUAGAUGACGACAGAUUAUUUUAGACAGUACAGUGGAAUGCUAGCAGGCCUGCAACCUGUAUGUGUUUUUGAACUAAGUGUUCACCAGGUGUAAUCUUGCAACCGACAAACUUUGGUCCAAUGGUAAAGAUAGCAAGGACUCUAAAGGAGGACAUAUGGUCAGCAAGGAACAUGGAGAACCAAAUUAGGAAGAAGGGUUUGGAGAGAGCGAAGGUAGGAGAGAAGAGAAAGUUUGAGGGACCAUCAAGGUCCAACAAGAAGAGUAGAUUUUCAAAAUCUGGUUCCAGAAAUUUUGUAGGUGGAGGAGAAGAAAAAUGGCACGAGAAGUGCAAAAAGAAGCAUUCUGAUUUUGUAACGCCCCGAUUUCCAGGUAUUGACUUAGUGUGUGAGUCCUUGAUUUCAAGGGCUACUCGACGAGUUGAUUGCCCUACUCGUCGAGUAGCAGCGGGUUGGCCACGUAUUUUAAUGAGCUACUUGCCGAGUUCAAGAAGGGACUCGACGAGUAGGAGCUGGCAGAUGAAACCCUAAAUCUCGGGGUUUUGCACCCUAUUUAAAUGAUCAUUGGCCUCCCCCAGCCUCCCCUCUACUGCCCUUUGUCCCUCUCAAGCCCUAAAUCGUGUGUGUGUGUGUUCUUUUGGUGUGUUCAUGCUUGGAGGAGGAAAAUUGAAGAAGGAAACACUUGGGGAAGCAAGGAAAUCAAGGCUAGGAACUCGUGGGGAGCUAGGAGGUUCAUCAGUUGUCACUCCCUGAAAGGUAUUAAGUUGUUCCUUUAGCUCAUCUCUCUUUUGACCUCUUUUGGAUGGGUUUUAUGAAAGGCUCCCCAUGUUUAAGCUAAGAUCUGAAGUUGUAACUUCAGAUCUGGACUCCCUUUGACCUCUAGAUCCAUAAAGUCAUCAGCCUUGCCUAUUACGAGCCUUCCCUCAAGUGUGAGACUUCAUUGUAAGCUUAGUUUUGCCAUUUAAGGGUCUUAAAGCCUUGCAUGCACGUAAAGUUUGCGACUUUACGUGAUAAAUAUGCCAUAGAAGCUUGGAUCUAUAAUUUGGAGCCUUGCCAUGGCUUUAAAAGCGUCUGCAUGGAUGAAGGUCUGCAAGGACUCGGCAAGUUGGAUGAACAACUUGGCGAGCCCGUUGAAGAUAGCCAUGAACUUGACGAGUUGGAUGAACAACUCGGCGAGUUUGUUGAAGAUUGCCUUGGACUCGGCGAGUCGUUCGAAGACUCGACGAGUCGGCUAGGGUUUCUCCCAAUUAUUGGACAAAUGAACUUGGCGAGGUAAAAAGGGACUCGACGAGCCAAUAAGGGAUUUCAUGACUUCUCGAGUUCAGGAAGGACUCGAAGAUUUGGUGAACUGCACUUGACGAGUCGAGUCAGCAUGGACUGUUGAAUUUGACUGUGGACUUUGACUUGGACCAAGGGUUGACCAGUUGACUUCUGAGGGUAUUCUGGUAAUUUGGAGACUUAUGAAAAAGGGUUCUAUGGUAACUAUAGGUGGUGGAGUUCGUGUUGGUGAUCCAGGAGUCGAGCUUUCUAGUUUCAGACGACAGUUGCAAGGUGAGUUAUCCUCACUAUACUAAGGGGUCUAAGGCACCAAGGCCAGCCCAUUGGAUAUGUUAUCCUAGAAGUGUUAGAGGUUGAGUACGAGUUAGUGUUGCAUUCUAGUGGUUAUGCCAGUUAGGUAGAUCUGUAGGACUACCUAUGACGUUAUGUGAUUAUUGCUUGCUCAGUGGUUACGUUAUGUGUUUGUUAUAUGAGAUGGGUUGAGGUUGUAAAGCUUCGUGCGGUAGCCAACAAACCUUAGGAGCAUUCCAGCUACGGGCUAAGGGAGACUCGUACUGUGGGCUCGGGAGCAUUCCAGCUACGGGCUAAGGGAGACUCGUACUGUGGGCUCGGGAGCAUUCCAGCUACGGGCUAAGGGAGACUUGUACUGUGGGCUCGUGGGUAUUACAGUCUGUAGGGCUGUAAACUCGUUAUGUGUUAUUCUGUUCAGCUUGUUAUGAUAUGUUAUUACUGACAUGGUUAUGUGGACUGUAUGUGUAUCAGUAUUUUGAGGGGUAACUCACUAAGCUUUUAGGCUUAUAGUUUUAGUUUAUUGUUUCAUGUACAUCAGGGGAUCGCAGCAAGGCGAAGGCAUGACCGUACAACUCCUCAUAUUAUGUUUAUGUUUCUGAGAAUACUCUGAUCAAAUAUAUUUUGAAAACAAAGUUGUAAUAUUUUGAUGAAGUUGACAUGUUUUAAAAGUUUAAAUUGGUUUGAAAUUUUUGGGUGUUACAAGUGUGUAUCAGAGCCUUGGUUUGAGUGAAUUGGAGAAACACCCGUGUAACUCCAGUCUCAAAUCAAGGAAAGGAGUUUCAAAAUGAUUUUUCUAAAAAGGUUUUCAAAAUAAAUAAAGGAGGAUGCAGGGUGUACGAUCAGCCGGAGCCAGUAAGUAGACCCCCAAAAUACCAUACAAGUUAUUUGAUUAUGUGAUAUGUUAGAACAACAUGUUAGUACUAGGCUAGGGAUCUUCAGAAAUUGCAUGGUAGAAUUGUCUGAUUUCAUGAUGCCUGCUAGCCUAGGGUUUCCUUUAUAUGAAAUUGACAUCAUUACUGUAGUUGCUUAGUGUAUGCAUCACAGUUAUAUAUAAUUAAGAUCUUAUAGUCUGAGAAUGUUUGAUUUGGCCUUAUGUUCUGUUCUUGUUUGAUUGGGAGCUUAGGGUAGGAUUGGAUAUUCGAAAGUCUAUAGGGUCCAACGUUAUGUAUGGCUAGCAUACACUAGUGCUACAGGGUUGGUGGAAGUUUCAUGGAUAGGUGGGUUGAGUGAGGCCAGGAGGUCAGUUAUGAGAUGUUUAUCACUCCUCUAGGGUGAGAAUUGAGCGCUCGCCAUGUUGUGUAUUCAGUUAGGGCAUUGUGACGAUGAUUGAGGCAAAUAUGGGUAGGUGUGGAAGGUAGUUGUUGGAUUAGUGUCUAAGUCCAUAACUAUUUUGGUAUGUACUUGACCCGAUGGUGCAUGGUCCUUUUGGGUUGCCUUCACCAAAGCAACUUGAUUGGAGAAAUAAAUAGAAAGAGAGGAUAAUAUGAUUUAUUAAUAUGUUAUAAGAAUAAUAUAUUAAAGGAGAAAUCAUAUUUGUUUAAUUAAUAUUGGUCAAUAAUUAAUUGAGAAUUAAUUUUGUGAUCAAGUGUAAUUAAUUAAACUAGAGGGGCUGAUUUGUAAUUAUGUGAUAGUUACAAAAUAAGGUAAGGAUUAUCUUAUAUAUAUGGUGAACGAAUUUGAGGUGUAAAUCCCUUAGAAUUCGACUAGGAUAAGGGUUUCUAGGACUUAUCUUAUGGUUGCUUGGUGGACAAGCAACUAGAUAAGGAUAAGGACUAAAACCCUAAUCUUUACACCUAUAUAAACCCCCUAAGGCUUAGGAAUUCGUCUAACCCUUCCCAAGAGGUCCUAAGGACGAAUUCUAACCUCCCUCCUCUCUCUUUAUACCUUCUCCACUUGCUUAUGGUGUUUGUAAGCCAUUAGAGGAGUGACACUUGUGACUCUUUGCUUUCCAAGGUCAAUUCAAGGAGGAAUUGGAUUGUUAUUGCUACAUAACAAUCAAGGUAUGUUCUUAAACCUAUUUACAUGUGAAUUCUGAUUUCCAUAUGCUAGAAUUAGGGUUCAAAGUCUUGGAUUCAAAGUAUGUACAAUAGAGAAACCUAGAUCCGAGCUUUAGGGUUUGUAUGAGCACAUAGGAUGUCUUAUGACCAAAACCCAUCAGUGGUAUCAGAGCCAUGAUUGGUUUCUAUUGUAUUGAUGCUUGAUGUAACUGAAAAUCGUGUUUUGGCCUCACUGUUCGACCUGACUCGGCGAGUCACUCUUGGACUCGGCGAGUCAGCCCUACUCGGCGAGUUCCAGAGGGUGACUCGGCGAGUCGGUGCGUCAGACAGUGCUUAUCUCGGGAUUUCUUGCUGUUUUUGCAUUGGGAUAAUUACCUUAUCAUGUUAGAUUAAUAUUAAUCCGAUUAUAUGAUAUAUUUGACUAUAUUUUUAAUCUAAUUGAAGAUAUUUAUCAAUUAAUAAGAUAAUUGUUUCCUUAUAAGAUAAUUGAUUAAUUAUUUUAAGUAAAUUGAUAAAUUAUUUUGCAAGAAAUCAUCAAAUAUGGAUAAUUAUGUGAUUAAAUGUUAAUUUGAAUUAUUUGUUAUUUGAUCCUUGUUGUUGUGAAAAGUUUCAUAUUUGGCCCUUUAGGUUUUAUAGUUUAAAUUUGAACCCCAAAAGUUUUGUUGUUUUGAAAUUUAAAUAGUUGAAACCCUAAUGUUUUGAAAAAGGUUUCAAAACUUGCCCUCAAGUUUUGGAAUUUAAAUUUUGAUUAAAUAGUUUAAUUUUGAUGCAUAUUUAAAUUCUAAACCCUAAUGUGUUGAAAUGUUUCAAAACUUGCCCUCAAGUUUUGGAAUUUAAAAGUUGAUUAAAAGUUUAAUUAGGAAUGUUAAAUUCUAAAACUCUAGUAUAGUUUUGAAAAAGUUCAAAUCACACCCUUAUGGUUUUAUUAAUUAAUUAAGGUGUAUAAUUAAAAGAGGUUUAAUAAAUCCAUAAAAGUUUAGGUUUACAAUUUAAUUGAAUUAAAAGUAUAAUUGUUAAAUUAGACCACCUAGUAUUUUAAAAGUAUAAAAUACACCCUAUACUAUAUAUAACAUUAAAAGUCUAACAUUAUAUAUAUGUAUGAGUAAAAGUCAGUCUUACCGUUAGUAGGCCUCAUUCACGAAGCUGGUCUAUAAGGGGUGUUUAAGGAAAUUGCCUAUAAAAUGGCGAUUGAAUGGGUAUCCACUCUUACCCACCGCACUCUUGACUAGUGGAGGGUCGUUAGCCGAACGGGUAGGAUAGGACGAAACCUUCCAUUAUAAGUAUAAUGAAUUAUUAAAGUAACUAAAUGUUUUCAUAAAAUUCCCAAUCUUAGUUACUUAGGCAAAAGUGAAUUGAUGCAAUUCCAUGAAAUUACACUUUGUGCCCUUGCGAAGACGUUAGUGGAGCGUGUGUGGUUUACCGGCACACUAAAUGGUUCUAAGCAAAGGUAGCAAAGGGUGACUCAAUGUUUGUCAUAGUUCGGUGGAGCGUGUGUGGUUUACCGGCACAUCGAAUAGGUGACUGUAACAUGUGAGGGCACCAUGUAAGUUUGCAUGGUUAUUCACACCCGCUUUGUGAUCCUCGGCAUCCCAGUCACAAACAAGAGGGGCAUAUCGAGAUUUAAACAUGCCAUUGAAAGUUCAAUGAAUCUCAAAGGAUCUAGGAGUUUUCAUAGAUUUAAAACUUAAAUUUCUUUUUCGUUUUUCAUGGUGGAAAUUAGUGAAUCGUCAUUCACUUACCUUCAAAUAUUCUGCAAUUAGGGUUACGGCAUCCCUCUCCCGAGUUGUAGAAUAUUGUGUUGGGUCCUAGCCUUAGUAUCUCAUUUGGGUGAUUUACUAAGGACUCAAUCAAUCAACUAACUUGAAUUCGUUUUCUCCCGUUUUGUAGAUGUCAAAGUUCGACAACUAUGGUCUUCCCAAAUCCCGUGGAACAAGCAUUCCACAUGAAGAUGAUAUUCCACGAUUCGAUCGAGGAACAAGAAAUCAUGCUUCACUUCCUCCUCCUCCUCCAAUUAUUCUCCCUAACCCACAAGUUCAAAGGCUUGAAAAGUUCAAGAUCACUCAAGCCCUUUUGGCAAGUAAACAUAAAGAAGGAAAGUCGGUGUGUGCACACGUCCUAGGGAUGAAGUCACACAUUGAUAGGUUAAGAAUGUUGGGAUCCGUUGUCUGUGAGGAAAUGGCUGUUGAUUGGGUUCUUCAGUCACUUCCUAACUCAUAUAGUGAGUUCGUAAGAGAGUACUAUAUGAUGAACCGCGACGUGACCCUUAUAGAUCUCACCUAUAUGCUUAUUGCUGCUGAAUCAGCAAUGGUUUGGCGCAAUAGAAAAGCAAAGUUGAUUGGUGAAUCUGCCUUCAAGACCUCUAUGGAUAUAGACAAUGGCAACGAAAGACAUGCUAUGAUCGAAAAGUUUGAUCAUAAGAGAAAGGCAAUGUCUGAAGUAGUUCCAUGUCAUGUUCCAAAAGAGUCAAUUUGCUUUUAUUGCCAAGAGAAAGGGCAUUGGAGACGAAGCUGCCCCAUUUACCUAAGAGAUCUAAGAGAUGGGAGAGUCGAAACGUAUGGCUCUAAUAUAGGUAAAAUCCAUUAACUAACUCUUUUAAGCUUCUAUUCUAGAUUCUUAAUACAUAAUGUGAUAAGAUUACAAUUGAUGUUUUGUAGGAUCGAAGAAAAGAAAGGAAGCUUAAGGGAAGAAGUGAGCAGAAUCUAACCGUGAAGGAAUGGAUUUCGAUCGCAUUUCUCGAAGAUUAGAUUCUUGAGCUACUACUUAGAGUUAGAAUUAGAUUGCUAAGAAAGAUGUAUUAGCAUAGUUUUUCAAUGAAUUGCAUUGUAAGGACAAAUUUUUUCCGCAAUAAAAUAAAUUUUGAUUUUAUAUUAUUUAUUUAUCCUUGCAAUGGCGUAUAUGAAAAAUUGAUGUUUGAAUGUUUCUAUUAUUAGCAAUAAUGGAUUUGGUUCUUAUUAUGUUAUUUAUGGAAAGUCGAGAAUUUACCAAAUAGGGAGAGUUUCUCAUCGCCCAAGUUUCAAUUGGACAGAAACUUGGAAUCAUGCAACUUGGUUGCACGAUGAAUGAGAAAUUUCAUAUUUGGAAAUUAGACUAAUUCAUUGACAAAGUGUCAAGUGAAGGACUAGGAGAUCGAGUACACAAAGUUGCGUGUUGAUCAAGUCCACCAUAAGAGUAACAAAGAUAUUCGUCAUGAUUUACUAAAGGUUUAGUAAAUAUGAUUAUACUUACAAGAUUAAGUGUAAUUCUGAAUUGAUUGAAAAAGUUUAAAUCAAUAGCAGAACGAAUAAGAAGAAUCAAGUAGGCAGAAAGAUAAAAGUUUCUCCAUUCUAAGAAGAAGGGAGAGUACCUUUUAUGCUUUAUGAUAGGUCUUAAUGAUUAAGAACCAUAUCUCAAUUGAUCCUCUAAGUGAGUCUUAGUACAAUUGUAUGUCUAAGAAGAGGAAUCAAGAAUUGAAGAAAUGGUUAAAUCAAGAAGUCAAUCAUACUUCGUUCCAAAACAAGUCUUAGAGUUAAGAUUGUGACAUUGAGUGAAAAGUAUUAAGAAGGUUUAUAACAUUCAUCAAAUGUGGAAAGUUGUGAUGUCUUGGAUAAGACAAAGACCAACUAGGACCAAUUUAUGAAGUGUUUUGAUAAAAGCUACACUAACUCUUGAAUAUUUGUUUGUCAAGAAAUGUUUAUUGACAAGAGAAUCUUAUAUGUCAAGGAGUCAGUGGGAGUCUUAAUGGUCUUGAAAGGUUUCAAGAACAAAUCAAAUAAACCUUAUCGAUCAUCACUAGCACACGAGUUGAGGUUUACAACCUAUCGUGUUGACAUUAUUUUGUUUCUGUGCCAAUCCAAUCGAGUUAAUUAUGCAUGUGAGUUCUAUGAGUUCUCAUUUUGAACGCAUAAAAGGCAAAGCACCUUAAUCAAUGAAAGGUACAUUGAUAGGAAAGGGUGAGCUGCUUAACUACUUGGAAGACAUGGUGGGCAGCUGUGCUACCAUAAGGCAAGAAAUCAAGAUUAAGAAAGUUCGGUCCAUAUGAGUUUGAAUUUGUCGUAAACUUUGGUUUUAACAAAUUCACAUGGAUAGGAACACAUACACCGUUUAAAUCUAAGUGUCAUAAGAUUUCCUCCUUCAUGAAAAUGAUUGUGAGGAAAUGCUUUCACUAAGAAAGAUUUUAAGAAGAUAGUGAUUGUAAAAUUGCAUUCUCGAAUUCGAUUAUGGUUACGGUAUCCCUUUCCAUAAUUUGAAUUGUGAGGUUUGGCAAUUAGUCUUAAUUGUUUAGACACACAUAUGAACUAUCGAAGGCAAAGGUGUAUAAGUUCAAGAAGCCUUGAUAAAGGAUUAUCAAAGCACUAAGUAUUAGAAACAUGAACUUAAGAAAUUCAAUAAGUAUUGUUUUUCUGAAAGUUAAGAUGUUUAUGAAUACAUGUCGAAGCUAGUGGGAGCAUAAGUGUUAUGUUUUAUAAUAAUCAUCAUGAUAGUGGGAGCAUAAAUGUUAUGAUUGUAUGAUUAUUAAGGCACGUAUUGCAAGUUGGCAAUAUUAAUUAUAGAAAACAAGAGUUAUACCUUGCAAAGUCGUAAGGGUUGUAAAGUUGUUUUGCUAUAAUUAAGGGAGAGAAUAUUAUGCUUCAUUUCAAAUCUAAAGGAUUAGGUUGAGAAAUGUUAAUAAAUUUAGUCAAAGGUACAUAGUGUGUUCUUAAAAUUUCGAUUAUGAUUACGGCAUCCCUCUUCACAAUUCGAAUUUUGAGAACAUAGCAAAUAAAACAUUAUGCGUCGUGUCCCAUACGCUUCGGGUAUAGGAUCGAUUGCAAAUGCUUUAAUGUUUGACCAUUCUAAAAUUUUCCAAAUGUCGAGCGCAUUUAGAGGGAAAAGGGACUAGAAUUGGUUUUGACUAAAAUAAUUAAACAACUAUCAAAGGACAAUCCAAAGUUCGACGAGGAUUGGUCGCUUGUGAGUAGUUGGAAGUAUAGUAUUGGAAAAUAUGGAAAUGUUUCCAUAUUGGAUGGACCAUAUCGACAUCAUUACGAAUAGAUAAGAUUCUAUUAAGAAUGAGUUGUCAUAUGGAACAUAUGGAAGUGUGUCCAUAUUGGGAAUUGAAUAUUGAGAAAUCUAUGACUAGAUUAGAAACUUCUAUGCAAAAGGAUGUUCAAAGAAUGUACUUUGAGUGAGAGACAUCACGUCUAUGGAAUUGUCUUGUAACAAUCUCCGAUAGAGGACUUUGUAAUAUCAUUGGCAAUAGUCUUUGUGACUUUGGUGCAGUGACAUUACGAAAGGAUAGUUGCAUAGAAUGUUAGAAUCUAGCAUAUUCUAUAAGUAGCAAGAAUUUGAUAUUCUUUAACUUAUGAAAAACGGAUUUGGAGUUGUGAAAUGAGAAGGAUUGGAAAUGUGUUCAAUGUGAUCUAUUUCACAAAGUAAGAACCAUAGGUAAACAUUGUGUGCAUGCUAGGAGCAUGGGACAAGUGUUGGAAUUCAAGUAAGAAGUUGAUUACCCGAAACGACAAAUAAUGAGUAAUCAAUAUGGUGAUAAAUAAAAGGUGUUUUAUUUAUACUCAAAGGUUUGAGGCCAUAUGGGAUUAGUAUUAUUCUUGUGUUUCACAUUUGCAUGUUUUGACUUCCAGAAUAAUUGAGUUUAUUAAGAAUAAUCGAAUUAUUCAAACGGGCCACAGUCGUUCAUAUGUUGGAAGUAGAUAUGAAUGAAGACUGUCGUGAAUUGGUGUGUGGAUUGUCUAAAAGAGUAUUAGACAUAAGCAAAUGUUUGCUGCAACGUUCAUGAGUGCUUAUGAAUGUGAUUUGAGCAUUGGAUUAAACCCACGCUCACUUGGAUCACUCCAUGAAUUGUAUCACGAGUGAUUGGUGAGACGAUAACAUCUUAUAUUCUUGAAACCGAGAUGUGUGAGUUGUAUCUUGCAAAUCGGUUGCACAUUGAUAAUAUGUAAACGCACUAGUAACUUGGUGUUAUAAAACAUAUUGUUGUGUGUGAUUCGGUGAGUGAGUGCAAGCAAGCAUUGUAUCAAAGUUUAUCCGUUCCUUUUAUCCAAAGUAGGAUAAAAGCGAUAUCUUUGGGCCCCUCGAUGGUUUAGUGAUGACAAACGUAAAUGCUCGGCCGGGCUAGGGCUAAUUUGAUUUGUUCAAUUAGUCAGUCGUCAUAAAUCGGAAAUCGAGAUAUAGUACAAAGAGAAUGAUUUGAAAUCAUAUCUCAUAUGAUAUCUAGAAUGGAGGAAUAUAUGAUCCCUUAUCUAAGGACACGCGUAUUUGAUAUGAUCAGAGUUGACAGCGGCUUUGGAAAGCUACGAUUGCAGAUCGGGAUCCGAAGUCAUACGCAGAAUAGUUAUUAGACUUAUCCAAGUGGGAGACUGUUGGAUUAGUGUCUAAGUCCAUAACUAUUUUGGUAUGUACUUGACCCGAUGGUGCAUGGUCCUUUUGGGUUGCCUUCACCAAAGCAACUUGAUUGGAGAAAUAAAUAGAAAGAGAGGAUAAUAUGAUUUAUUAAUAUGUUAUAAGAAUAAUAUAUUAAAGGAGAAAUCAUAUUUGUUUAAUUAAUAUUGGUCAAUAAUUAAUUGAGAAUUAAUUUUGUGAUCAAGUGUAAUUAAUUAAACUAGAGGGGCUGAUUUGUAAUUGUGUGAUAGUUACAAAAUAAGGUAAGGAUUAUCUUUUAUAUAUGGUGGACGAAUUUAAGGUUGGAAAGCCUUAGAAUUCGAGUAUGAUAAGGAUUCAUGGAUUAUCUUAUUGGUUGCUUAAUGGAUAAUCAACUAGAUAAGGAUAAUGACUGAAACCCUAUCUCUACACCUAUAUAAACACCCCUAGGGCCAUGAAUUCGUGUAUCCCUUCCCAAGAGGUCCCAAAUACGAAUUCUAACCUUCCUCCUCUCUCCUUAUACCUUCUCCACUUGCUUAUGGUGUUUGUAAGCCAUUAGAGGAGUGACACUUGUGACUCUUUGCUUUCCAAGGUCAAUUCAAGGAGGAAUUGGAUUGUUAUUGCUACAUAACAAUCAAGGUAUGUUCUUAAACCUAUUUACAUGUGAAUUCUGAUUUCCAUAUGCUAGAAUUAGGGUUCAAGUCUUGGAUUCAAAGUAUGUACAAUAGAGAAACCUAGAUCCGAGCUUUAGGGUUUGUAUGAGCACAUAGGAUGUCUUAUGACCAAAACCCAUCAGUAGUAUGGGCCCGUACUACAAAAAGCACAGGACCCAUACACGUGUCAAGUAAGUCACAAUCUCUAGGAUUAGUAGGGAGUUGGCUCCCAGCUAUUUAUAGGGAUUAUCUGAUAUUUUGUGGUAUGUUUAAGAAUGGUGAUGACGAGGCGCUUUGUGGUCGGAUCCGGUUCGGGAUCAGGAUCAGGGGACAGAGGCCAGGAGGGGUUGACAGCACCUGAGCCGGUGGUGCAGAUGGGUACAGAGGAGUUGGAUGCCAAGAUUCGAGAGAUCCUACAUGAUGAGGUUGCUGCUGCAUUUCGGGCUCAUUUACCGGAGAUGUUCGGGUCGAUUAAGACCGCCUUGGUGGAGUAUUUUGAUGAGUGCUACGCAGCCCUUGCAGAGACAGCCGCCGCAGCAGCUGCAUCAGCUGUAUCAGCGGCAUGGGGAGGAGUUGGUAGAGGUUUUUAGUACAGGGACUUCGAUAACACGAAGCCCCCUACUUUUGAUGGGACACAGGAUCCCAUCAAGGCUAUGAGAUAGAUUUUAGAUGUGGAGGGGUGUUUCUUCACUUGCUCGUGUCAUGCUGACCAGAAGGUCAGGUGUGCUCUGAACCUGCUUAGGUCUGGGGCCAAGGACUGGUGGAGACUGGCGACUGGGUCGUACGCUGAUGAUCAGAGAGCUACUGUUACAUGGGAGCAGUUCAGAGACAUGUUCAGCGCCCGUUACAUUCCGUGGGUUGAGCGGGAGUGGUUGGCAUAGGAGUUUCUGAGUUUGAGACAGGAUGGGGAGUCGGUGACGGAGAUCACCCGUAUGUUCACUGAGCGGGCGAUGUUCUGCCCAUAUUUUGCUUCUGAGCAGUCUCAGAUGACCCGUUAUCUUAGUAUGCUCAAGACUGAUAUCCGACAAUUUGUAUCUACCUAGCGAUGUGAUACUCUUUUAGAGUUACAGGAGGCCGCUAGACGGCGGGAGUUAGAGAUUGAGUUGCAGCUGAGGGAGCAGCGGUCGGCCUCGGCACAGUCACAGCUGGCGCUGAAGCGGUCAAAGACCGCUGAUUUGAGGUCUGGGAGUCAGCAGAGCCGCUCUUGUGGAAAGUGCGGCAGGGUUCAUUCCGGGAUUUGUCGAGCCAUUAGUGGGUGCCACAGGUGUGGCAAGGAGGGGAACUAUGCGAAGGAUUGUCUCCAGGCCGCUCCGAUACCGAGUAUGAAGUUAUGUUACCAUUGUGAUAAGGUUGGCCAUUUGAAGGCCAACUGCCCGUUACUCGCCACCAAACCGGCGCAGGCUCCAGCGCCGACUUCUUUGAGGAUCACGGAUGGGAGACCAGUCAAGGCAGAGCCUCCGAAGGCUCAGGGUCGUGCUUUCCAGCUUACAGCGGAGGAGGCCAGAGCAACACCAGAUGUGGUUGCUAGUACGUUUCUACCCUUUAUCUCGUUUUCUAUAUCUGUUGUACCUGUGAUUAGGUACGUUUUUAGUGAACUCUUUGCGUGCUUUUGUCUUAUUUGACUCGAGGGCGAGUCGGUCCUUCGUAUCUCAGUCUUUUAGUAGGGAGUUCAGUGCAUCAGCGGGCGAGUUAGAGUGUCCGUUGCGAGUAUCUAUCGCCAAUGAACACGGGGUUUCUGCUUCUUCAGUCUAUCGAGGGUGUGACUUGGAGAUUUUUGGGGUGUCCUUUCCGGUAGAUUUGAUUCCGAUUCCCAUGGGGGAGGUGUGUGUGAUUGUAGGCAUGGAUUGGCCUAGUCGGUUCAGUGCCAUGAUCGACUGUGAGGGGCAGCGAGUAGUAGUUCGAACCCCAAGUGGGGGAGAACUGGUGAUAUAUGGCGAGGACACCAGAGUGGGAUCAGGGUUUUGUUCAGCUGCCAGGGAUCGGCAGUACAUUCAGCACGGCUGUGCGGGUUAUCUAGCGUAUGUGGUAGAUACGCGGGUUAGGGAUCAGAUUUUGGUUUCC